UUGGAGGGCAAGUCUGGUGCCAGCAGCCGCGGUAAUUCCAGCUCCAAUAGCGUAUAUUAAAGUUGUUGCAGUUAAAAAGCUCGUAGUUGAAUUUCGGGAUCAAUUUAUUGGUCGUGCCAACGGUACGCACUGGUACAAUUGGUUUCUCCCUUCUGACGAAGCAUGAUGUCAUUAAUUUGAUGUCGUGGGGAAUCAGGACUGUUACUUUGAGAAAAUUAGAGUGUUUAAAGCAGGCUUUGGCUUGAAUACAUUAGCAUGGAAUAAUGAAAUAGGACGUUUGAUCUUAUUUCGUUGGUUUCUAAGAUCGACGUAAUGAUUAAUAGGGAUAGUUGGGGGCAUUAGUAUUCAAUUGUCAGAGGUGAAAUUCUUGGAUUUAUUGAAGACUAACUACUGCGAAAGCAUUUGCCAAGGAUGUUUUCAUUAAUCAAGAACGAAAGUUAGGGGAUCGAAGACGAUCAGAUACCGUCGUAGUCUUAACCAUAAACUAUGCCGACUAGGGAUCGGAUGAUGUUAAUUUUUUAACGACUCAUUCGGCGCCUUACGGGAAAC
RNAcentral lists this ribosomal RNA (549 nucleotides) under uncultured Glomeromycotina. Its description in RNAcentral is "SSU rRNA". It matches the Rfam family "Eukaryotic small subunit ribosomal RNA", at positions 548 to 1098 of the family's 1831-position model. The record is from RNAcentral. Lineage: Eukaryota; Fungi; Glomeromycota.